This 92-nucleotide non-coding RNA is filed under the name Polaromonas naphthalenivorans CJ2. Lineage: Bacteria; Pseudomonadati; Pseudomonadota; Betaproteobacteria; Burkholderiales; Comamonadaceae. The record is from RNAcentral.
AGUUUUGGCGGCCCAAGUGAGGAGCCGAAAGGCUCGCCGGUUUCUGCUCCGCAGGUGCGCCGGUCUUCCUACUCGCUUGGGCUGCCGCCCGG